UGCAGUCAGAGAACGAAAAUGCCUCUGUGGCUACACCCUGUUCACUUAACAAAAUGAUUGGACCACCUGCUAUCUGAGUGGCAUUUUAUGGAGAGAAAAAUAAAUUAUUACUCAGACACAGUCUUUUUGUCCAAGGAACACGUGUUCUCCUGAAGAGGCAGAUAUUUAUCCACCGUCUCCAGGACAAGUAGCCACAUGAGAAGAGCUUGCUGGAGACAGAAACAGAUUCUCUGGGAUGUCAGAGGGCUGCACCCACUCAGCUCAGGGCUGUGUCCCACAAAGAAAGCAAAGGAAGUCUGGCAUCCUUGGGGACUUUCUGAUUCAUCCAUUCAUUGUUUCACGUAGGCCCAAUUGUGCCAGUCCCAGGACGUGAAGUGACAGAUGCAGGGGGAGUGCUGAGCAGUGGGGACGAUGACACAGAGCCCGACGGUGGCUGCCAGUGUAAACGGAGCUCUGCCCGGGCUGGCCGGCGAGGCUUCCAGAGGAGGCUGGACGUGGUGUCCUGGGAAGAGUGCAAGUCAUCACUUGGACAUCACCAGUCUGCACCCUCUUCCCACUGGGUCCACCCAGGUGCCCCCCCGCCCCCACCGCCCCUCCAUGGCUCCUAGCCCACCUCCUCUUCCCAUCUCUGCUCCUGUUGUCUCAGUGGAUGGAGGCCAUCUGUUUUUCUCACUGGAUGGUGGAAUACAUCCUUUACCAGAUAUUGGUGAAGGUACCAACUCAUUGGAAAAGGCCCUCAGGCUGGGAGAGAUUGAAGGCAGGAGAAGGAGAUGACAGAGAAUGAGAUGGUUGGAUGGCAUCACCAACUUGAUGGACACGAAUUUGAGCAAACUCCGAGAGAUAGUGAAGGACAGAAGCUUGGCGUACUGCAGUCCAUGGGGUCGCAAAGAAUUGGACAUGACUGAGCGACUGAACAGCAACAACAAGCAGAAUAGGUGUCCUUAAUAUAGGCCACCUUUGCAUGUCAAGUAUUUUGAGCUGAGACAAUUGGGGAGAAGCAGACAUGGGAAAAGCCCCCUGUCUACCCCCAUUUACCUGGGGAGACUUCCUUCUCUGGGCUUCUGUGAAAAUGCAAUCAGAUGAUUUAUUAUGUUCCUGGCACACAAUGUUCCUGGCACACAAUGGGAAUGCAGUUAUUAUGGGUGGGACCUGCACUUCCUUUCACUCUGCAAAUGAUUGAGCCUUGGAAAUGUCAUGGAGGGAACCGAAGGACUCCCACAGCCACCUUGCCAGGAGCCAGCGUGAGGAACUCUGCCUGUGGCAAAGGUCAUGAGGAAGGAGGCUCGGCAUACACAAAGGCGGGAUCGAGCCUCAGGAGUCCCCCUGGAAAUUCUCGAGCAUCUACCCCCAAAACCAGAGUCUGCCUACUUUACUGCUUUGUGGUCUCACCUACACCUCUGACUUUACGGGGUCUGUCCCCCACCACCUCUGUCUGAAAAAGAGUUAAAUUAAAGCUCCACUUAAUAAAGUUCCUGGGCGUGACA
RNAcentral lists this long non-coding RNA (1484 nucleotides) under Bos indicus x Bos taurus (hybrid cattle). Its description in RNAcentral is "lncRNA (ENSBIXG00000019121.1)". Lineage: Eukaryota; Metazoa; Chordata; Mammalia; Artiodactyla; Bovidae. The record is from RNAcentral.